This 401-nucleotide unclassified non-coding RNA is filed under the name soil metagenome. RNAcentral describes it as "partial contains 5.8S ribosomal RNA, internal transcribed spacer 2, and large subunit ribosomal RNA". The stretch from base 1 to 121 matches the Rfam family "5.8S ribosomal RNA", at positions 35 to 154 of the family's 154-position model. The record is from RNAcentral.
GAUGAAGAACGCAGCGAAAUGCGAUAAGUAAUGUGAAUUGCAGAAUUCAGUGAAUCAUCGAAUCUUUGAACGCACCUUGCUCCCUUUGGCUAUUCCGAAGGGCAUGCCUGUUUGAGUAUCGUGAACACCUCAACUCUCAUGGUUUGCCAUGAUGAGCUUGGACUUGGGGGUUUUGCUGGCCUUCGGUCGGCUCCUCUCAAACGGAUCAGCUUUCCAGUGUUUGGUGGCGUCACGGGUGUGAUAACUAUCUACGCCUGUGGUUUUCUGCCAGAUAACCUUCAGCGAUGGAGGUUCGCUGGGGCUCAUAAAUGUCUCUCUUCAGUGGAGACAGCUUUUUGGACGUUUGAUCUCAAAUCAGGUAGGACUACCCGCUGAACUUAAGCAUAUCAAUAAGCGGAGGA